GGACAACUUACCCUUAGGACGGGGAUAAACCCGGGAAACUGGGUAUAAUACCCGAUAGUCCUCGAAUGCUGGAAUGCGUCGAGGACGAAAGCUCCGGUGCCUAAGGAUGGGCCUGCGGCCUAUCAGGUAGUAGUGGGUGUAGCGUACCUACUAGCCUACGACGGGUACGGGUUGUGAGAGCAAGAGCCCGGAGAUGGAUUCUGAGACACGAAUCCAGGCCCUACGGGGUGCAGCAGGCGCGAAAACUUUACAAUGCUGGCAACAGCGAUAAGGGAACCUCGAGUGCCAGGUUACAAAUCUGGCUGUCGAGAUGCCUAAAAAGCAUUUCAUAGCCAGGGCCGGGCACGACCGGUGCCAGCCGCCGCGUUAACACCGGCGGCUCGAGUGGUAACCGUUAUUAUUGGGUCUAAAGGGUCUGUAGCCGGCCAGAUAAGUCUCUUGAGAAAUCUGGAAGCUCAACUGUCUGGCUUUCAAGUCAUACUGCCUGGCUC
Molecule: ribosomal RNA, 491 nt
Filed under: Methanosarcinales archaeon enrichment culture clone AD_Archaea_37
Lineage: Archaea; Methanobacteriati; Methanobacteriota; Methanomicrobia; Methanosarcinales
Description: bacterial SSU rRNA
Rfam family: Archaeal small subunit ribosomal RNA
Source: RNAcentral